GACGAACGCUGGCGGCGUGCUUAACACAUGCAAGUCGAACGGAAAGGCCCUGCUUUUGUGGGGUGCUCGAGUGGCGAACGGGUGAGUAACACGUGAGUAACCUGCCCUUGACUUUGGGAUAACUUCAGGAAACUGGGGCUCAUACCGGAUAGGAGCUCCUGCUGCAUGGUGGGGGUUGGAAAGUUUCGGCGGUUGGGGAUGGACUCGCGGCUUAUCAGCUUGUUGGUGGGGUAGUGGCUUACCAAGGCUUUGACGGGUAGCCGGCCUGAGAGGGUGACCGGCCACAUUAGGACUGAGAUACGGCCCAGACUCCUACGGGAGGCAGCAGUGGGGAAUAUUGCACAAUGGGCGGAAGCCUGAUGCAGCAACGCCGCGUGCGGGAUGACGGCCUUCGGGUUGUAAACCGCUUUCGCCUGUGACGAAGCGUGAGUGACGGUAAUGGGUAAAGAAGCACCGGCUAACUACGUG
Molecule: ribosomal RNA, 468 nt
Filed under: uncultured bacterium
Lineage: Bacteria
Description: partial 16S ribosomal RNA
Rfam family: Bacterial small subunit ribosomal RNA
Source: RNAcentral